This 253-nucleotide ribosomal RNA is filed under the name uncultured bacterium. RNAcentral describes it as "partial 16S ribosomal RNA". It matches the Rfam family "Bacterial small subunit ribosomal RNA", at positions 524 to 776 of the family's 1533-position model. The record is from RNAcentral.
UACGUAGGGGGCUAGCGUUGUCCGGAAUCAUUGGGCGUAAAGCGCGCGUAGGCGGCCCGGUAAGUCUGCUGUGAAAGUCAAAGGCUCAACCUUUGAAUGUCAGCGGAUACUGCCGGGCUAGAGUCCGGAAGAGGCGAGUGGAAUUCCUGGUGUAGCGGUGGAAUGCGCAGAUAUCAGGAGGAACACCAACGGCGAAGGCAGCUCGCUAGGACGGUACUGACGCUGAGGCGCGAAAGCGUGGGGAGCGAACAGG